RNAcentral lists this long non-coding RNA (1006 nucleotides) under Macaca nemestrina (pig-tailed macaque). Its description in RNAcentral is "lncRNA (ENSMNEG00000045722.1)". Lineage: Eukaryota; Metazoa; Chordata; Mammalia; Primates; Cercopithecidae. The record is from RNAcentral.
GAUUCAAUUUUGGCGCAUUUUCUAUUCUCCUUAAUAAACUCCUUAGCGAGAACAGAUUCUGUUGUCUGCAACCAAAAGUCUCUGUUCAACUCCAAAGCCUGACCAUUAGCCACUAUAUUUUACUGUUUCUUACCGUUGACUUUUUUUUUUUUUUUUUUUUCUGCUAGGCUCUGAUGUCAGCACAACCCAUCGUUUUGGAGAGUUCUUUCCGGCCUGAAAGUGAUGCUUGUUGUUUUAUUCACAAUCUAUUGGCAAGAACUCAACCACGAGGCCACACAUGAUCUCAAGGGAUGCCAAAAAAUCAGAGUUUGGGAGCUUUGGCUUAGUUAAAUUAACAGAGGAGACUUACAAGGAGCUUUUGCAAAGUCAGAUGUCUCUGAUGAUGGAUUGGGACAUUAAUGGGACCACAGCUCCAUUCCAGAGUCCCCAAAGAGGAGGCACUCUUAUUCGAGCUUCACUCAGCUGUGUCCUCUGGAUGCUGGGAUAUGAGGGUGGCAUGGGGUUGGGGACAUAUUUCACACACCACUGAAUAUGUGAUAUCAGAUUUUUCUGUAGGAAAUAAGGAUGGGGCUGAACAGCUAAGGAAAAACUUAUUGGAAACUCCCUUUGAGAGAAUGAAUAUAUGAAUGGAUAAUGGCCAGGCUGUAUGUUAAAAUAGAGCUCUGUCCCACAAUCUGCAACCUCCAGUUCAGGAAGCUAAACCACAACCCUUAUAAGAGUUGGCCACAAAACAACUGGAAUGUAAUCAAUAACUGCCAGCUUCUCUAAUUUGUAUCCCUUUCCAACUUAGGACCAGCCAUGGAAAGCCAAAUGUGCUCCCCUAACCAAUCACAUAGGAUGCCCCACUUCAAGUUUGCCCACCUACAGCACCCUUCAUGCCAGCAGCCUUCUAUUGGGGUAUAUCUGGAGCCUUCCCUUUACUAACAAGCUUUCCCACUCCCCUGCCUGCCUGGGAGUCUCUGCCAAAUGCAACUGAUGUUGCUGACUUCUUUGCUAUAGCAAGCUC